Long non-coding RNA from Rhipicephalus microplus (southern cattle tick), 1228 nucleotides. NCBI's taxonomy places the organism in Eukaryota, Metazoa, Arthropoda, Arachnida, Ixodida, Ixodidae. The record is from RefSeq and is a predicted model, not a curated record.
UUUAUUCUUUCCUGCAAAAAUAAACUUUGAAACUUUGAAACUUUGAAGACGACAACGGACCUGCGAGGGCGCUAGCAAUGCAGGAGAGGGCACAAGCCAUGAAGCUGUGGCGCAAGCGUGCAUGGAGCACCUUGAACACAUCAGAGCACACAAGGGGGUCAUCAAAAAAGAUAACAUUGGUUUCUUCGCUCUACGUACCGAUGCACCCCUCAGAGAGCUACCAGUGCACAUUGCACAAGAUGUAAUGCAUGCAGUAGAACUUAUGCUGUAUGAAGCAGAGGCAAAAUUGCAUCAGAGCAGUGAAGCAAAUUGAAGUGUUUAUAUAUAUAAAGUCAAUGACACCCACCUUUUUUUAUCUUGUGUUCACUUUUCUAGUCCUAACUUAAAGGGGUCAUGACUGGUCACUCAACAAUUGACGGUUGUCAGCAAAAAACAAAACUACAGAGUAAAAUGUGCUAGUACACGUGUGAAAAGGGGCCUUAAGAGAUUAUUUUAGUCAAAAAUAUGCCGUAGAAGUGCUCGGCUCCUAAAACUCAACCUACCACAAGUGACCGCCAUUUUGUCAUGGCGUGCGCGACGUCACAAGCCGAAGGAGCAGUGGCAAAUGGUAUACGCAUUGCACAUUCACGAAAUUAUUUGCUGCAAGUACCAACGCUACAUUGCUGACACAGUAGCCAUGUUUCGACCCCUGGAAGUCAUUUAGCUUUAGUGGAGAGUUCAACAAUGCAAAAAAAUUUGAUUGCAAACGCAGCUGAUGACAAAACACGACCGUCUGCCAGAAUGCACACUGUGCAGCAGCUUGUCGAGCAAGCGGUUCGUGAUGUCAUGGAUAGUGAGUGCAUCAGUAUUGCCCAACUGUCAGGCGACUAGCUCGUUUAUAAAAAUAUGCGAUUAAAAAUUAGCAGCUUGACCAAAUCGCUCGAAUUUCACCAGCUUGUAUGUGAACAUACAAGAAUCAGCUCAUGCAACACACAUUAUGGUUGAAAAUUGGGUGUCAUGACCCCUUUAAGGCCACUUAUUUCUGUGAUAAUUAUAGCGAUAACCGUGCAAUAACUCAAAUAUUUUAACAUGAAUUAUUUAUUUUUGUGUUUUCAUGGUUAUAUUUGGACAUGACAGUUUUCCCUGUAAUGUAUCUGUUGUGUCACGGGUGAUUUUUUUCUUCUUUGUUUAGCUUAAGAAGAUGCUAUGUACAUAAGUUCUGUAAGCAAUAAAAUGCAUUUACAACCCA